Eucalyptus grandis is the source of this 396-nucleotide long non-coding RNA. RefSeq lists it as uncharacterized. The record is from RefSeq and is a predicted model, not a curated record. NCBI's taxonomy places the organism in Eukaryota, Viridiplantae, Streptophyta, Magnoliopsida, Myrtales, Myrtaceae. The transcript has 2 exons.
GUAGAUUCCGUGGAAAAUCUGCUGGUGCUUGGUUCUAUCACCACAUGAUCCUAUGCGUCAAGCCUUCUUAGUGCCUCUUUAGAGGAUACAAAUCUCUCAGAAAAUUCCAAUUGAGGUUGCUUCUGAAACAAUUGAAGUUGGAGGUUAUCCGAUGGCCUGCUUUUUGGAGUACUUUCAAAGAUGAAUUUGAGAAUGAGAAAAACAUGCUGGAAGGUCCACCUGUUGAGAAGGCAGCAGAAGUUCUUAGACAGAGAAUCGUUGAACUUGGUACUUGCAGAACUGUCAUUUUUCUUCUUUUCGGAUCAUCAUUCGGAUGUGACUCAAUCUAUUUUCUGCAGAAUAUUAUCUUCAUUUCAAAGUAUUACUCGAGGAUUACCUCGAAGAGACUUGCAGAGC